CGCGGGGGCAACCCUGGCGGCGAGCGGCGCACGGGUGAGUAAUGCAUCGGAACGUGUCCUCUUGUGGGGGAUAACCAGUCGAAAGACUGGCUAAUACCGCAUGAGAUCGAGAGAUGAAAGCAGGGGACCCGCAAGGGCCUUGCGCGAGAGGAGCGGCCGAUGCCCGGUUAGCUAGUUGGUGGGGUAAAAGCCUACCAAGGCGACGAUCGGUAGCUGGUUUGAGAGAACGACCAGCCACACUGGGACUGAGACACGGCCCAGACUCCUACGGGAGGCAGCAGUGGGGAAUUUUGGACAAUGGGGGCAACCCUGAUCCAGCCAUGCCGCGUGUGUGAAGAAGGCCUUCGGG
This 349-nucleotide ribosomal RNA is filed under the name uncultured bacterium. Its description in RNAcentral is "bacterial SSU rRNA". It matches the Rfam family "Bacterial small subunit ribosomal RNA", at positions 72 to 422 of the family's 1533-position model. The record is from RNAcentral.